Homo sapiens (human) is the source of this 1924-nucleotide long non-coding RNA. Ensembl annotates it as long intergenic non-protein coding RNA 1819. Lineage: Eukaryota; Metazoa; Chordata; Mammalia; Primates; Hominidae. The record is from Ensembl.
GGCCAGAGAGGCUGUGAGGGUGGCUUUGUGAGGAUGGCUUUGUGUGGCUGCACAUUGCCCUUGGCCAAGCCCCGCUGCCAGGAGAGGCAGCUCGGCUGCCAAACCUCCUGAACCCAAGUUACCUGAGCAAGCAGCCCUAUCCCCUCGCCUGCUUCUCACUGCCUCGCCUGCCUUGGGCCUGCCCGACCCAGGGGGUCACAUGCCUUGUUCCCCAUCAGUGGAGACCAGGGACAAGAAGACAGUUCUGUGGGAAGAGCCAGGAGGACCAUUUGGGAAAAUACAGGUUCCAGGUGUGUCUCCAGACCUUGAGAGUUGGUGUCUCCUGGGAAGAGGCCCUGAUGAGAUCUGGGGAGAUUCGGAUCUGAUGAGAUUCAGGAAGCCCUGGCCUCUCCGUACUUGAGGAGACGGGACACACAGGACAAGCUGCAGGCUGGUGAGCAGGUUCACCUUCUAUUUUGAAGACCCGCUUCUUCCUCAGGUACCUGAUCUUGAAAACGACCUCCCCUUUCAGGUCUUGCUUCCCCUCAACCCAGACACCGACUCGCCCAAGGGUCUUCCAGCUGGCUGAGUUGGAACCUGCAUUUUUUAACCACAAGGAAAAGAAGCCCAGAGCUACCAAGAAUAAUAUUUUAUUGACUUGGAAUGAGUUUUGGAAUCUGUAUUUUUAACAAGCUGCCCAGUGAAAACCAUUUCCUCCUCGUCGUGGCGCAGGUCCAGAGGCUGCGCCCAUCUCUCCCACGUCAACAGUCCUGUGUCCUUGGCGAAGGACUGUUCUCUCAUUCAGUGCCUUUCCUCUCUUCCUGGGCCAAAUCCCUGCUUUGCGUCUCCCUGCAGCUCAUAAAAAGCUGAAUUACCUGAGGCAGGGAAAGCCCCACCCACUGUCAUUCUCAGGGAGGAGUGGAGUCUGCAGAGGCCGCAAUGCACAGCUUCCCUAUCCCCCUCCACCCGUGUUUUCCCAGAGCAGCUCUGUUCCAGGCCCGGGGGUGUCCCUGGGCCGAGAUGGAAUCCAGCCCUGACCACCUCCCAAAGCCAACAGCCCUGAGUGAGCGUGCAGAGAAGCAAGAGCUGUUCCUGAUGCAGAGCAAAGACAUCUCCCAGUCAAGGGGGAUGAACUGAUUUGGGACAAAAGGCAGUUGUUGGCUGAGGAAGGCAGGAUCUGGGGGAGCCCUGUGCUGAGUGGAGGUGGGUGGGUGUAUUUCCUUGGCUCACAGAGGCCUCUUGUCUGGUGGGAUCAGCUCCUCCAGCCAGUUGCCACCUGGUCCAGCUUUGGGAGAUGUGGAGAAUGACUUUCGCAGUGAUUUCCACUGGGCCAUGGCAUUGAAACAGCUGCAGGAGGGGACACAGCUGGUGCCACCCCUACUCCGUCCAUUAGAGCUGCUGUGAAGGAAUGCCACCCUCCCCAUGGGGAGUGAGGGGGCCCUACUUGCUGUGGUUGGUUCCAGGGACCAUGGGAAGAGGCAAACCCCUAUUUUCAAGGGCACAAGUUGGCUUUUAUUAAAAUAAAAUUUCAUCAUCACUUAUUCCAGUGGCUCCCAAACUUGGCUAAACAUCAGGAUCACCCAGGAUGUUUGUUAAAAAAUAAAGAUUAUGGCCGGGUGCAGUGGCUCACGCCUGUAAUCCUAGCACUUUGGGAGGCCCAGGCGGGCAGAUCACUUGAGGUCAAGAAUUCGAGACCAGCCUGGCCAACAUGGGGAAAUGCUGUCUCUACUAAAAAUACAAAAAUUAGCUGGGUGUGGUGGUGCAUACCUGUAACCCCAGCUACUCGGAGGCAGAGGCAGGAGAAUUGCUUGAACUUGGGAGGCAAAGGUGGCAGUGAGUCGAGAUAGCGCCACUGCACUGCACUCCAGCCUGGGUGACAGUGCGAGACUCUUGUCUCAAAAAAAAAAAAAAAAAGAUUAAUAAAAAUAAAGAGUUUUAGAACUCA